UUUUACCUUCGAAAGAAAAGGGAAUUCAUAACUAGAUAAAAGUGUAGUGAAUUCCCUUUGCUCUUCAAACCUAUUUAGCUGCGAGUUUUGCAGUAAUAUAGCUGUUUUCACCAUCUCCAGCAAACUACCAUUGUUCUUGAAUAGCUAAACCUACUUGAUUUAAUUUCAUAAGAAAUUUUCUGAAUGUCAUCAUUAGGUUUCGGUCUUUGUGGUCUCUCCUGCGGAAAAGGAAAAACAUCUCUAACUUGUGUACAUAGGAAAGAGCAGUGCAUUACAAAAUAUGG
Molecule: long non-coding RNA, 284 nt
Filed under: Olea europaea (common olive)
Lineage: Eukaryota; Viridiplantae; Streptophyta; Magnoliopsida; Lamiales; Oleaceae
Description: long non-coding RNA (OEUR_LNC014493)
Source: RNAcentral